RNAcentral lists this non-coding RNA (49 nucleotides) under Schistosoma curassoni. Lineage: Eukaryota; Metazoa; Platyhelminthes; Trematoda; Strigeidida; Schistosomatidae. The record is from RNAcentral.
AUCCAGCUGACGAGUCCUAAAUAGGACGAAACGUGCGUCUGAACUGGAU